CAGUAAGGGCCUUUUGGCCCAUUACGAGAUGCAACCCUUGUCUUUUUGUGCACCUUUGUUUCCUCGGCAGCCUAGCCUGCCAACGAGGACCCCCAAAAACCUUUAGUCAAUCCUAGUGUAACAUUCUGAAAACAAACAAUAUUA
Molecule: unclassified non-coding RNA, 144 nt
Filed under: uncultured Ascomycota
Lineage: Eukaryota; Fungi; Ascomycota
Description: sequence contains ITS1
Source: RNAcentral